CUCGCCCAGCCCGCAACCGUCACGUGCUGAGGCGCGGCGUCCGGCCCGUAGCUGAUGCUGCCGCGCGGUAUUCGUCAUGGAGCUGGCGCCGCGGAGUUGUCUUAUGCCGGUGCUGCUGCUGCUCCUGGGCCUGAGCACGGGAGCUGUCAUCAGCUGGCCCACAGAAGAGGGCAAGGAAGUAUGGGAUUAUGUGACUGUCCGGAAGGAUGCCCACAUGUUCUGGUGGCUCUAUUAUGCCACCAGCCCCAGCAAGAACUUCUCAGAACUGCCCCUGGUCAUGUGGCUUCAGGGUGGUCCAGGUGGUUCCAGCACUGGAUUUGGGAACUUUGAGGAAAUCGGGCCCCUUGACAGAGAUCUCAAACCACGAAGAACUACUUGGCUCCAGUCGGCCAGUCUCCUGUUUGUGGAUAACCCAGUGGGCACUGGGUUCAGUUAUGUGAACAAGAGUGACGCAUACACCAAAGACCUGGCCAUGGUGGCAUCAGACAUGAUGGUUCUCCUGAAGACUUUCUUUGAAUGCCACAAAGAAUUCCAGACGAUUCCAUUCUACAUUUUCUCAGAGUCCUAUGGAGGAAAAAUGGCUGCUGGCAUUGCUCUAGAACUUUAUAAGGCCACUCAGCAAGGGACCAUCCAGUGCAACUUUGCCGGGGUUGCUUUGGGCGAUUCCUGGAUCUCCCCCAUCGAUUCAGUGCUCUCCUGGGGACCUUACUUGUACAGCAUGUCUCUUCUCGACGACCAAGGUCUGGCAGAGGUGUCUCGGGUUGCAGAACAAGUCCUGGAUGCCAUAAAUAAGAGACUCUACAAAGAGGCCACCGAGCUGUGGGGGAAAGCAGAAAUGGUCAUUGAACAGAACACAGACGGGGUGAACUUCUAUAACAUCUUAACUAAGACGUCUCCCACGUCUACCAUGAAAUCGAGUCUAGAAUUCACCCAGAGCCACAUAGUUCACCUUUUCCAGCGCCACGUGAGACACUUACAGCAGGAUGCCUUAAGUCAGCUCAUGAAUGGUCCCAUCAGAAAGAAACUCAAAAUUAUUCCUGAAGAUUGCUCCUGGGGAGGUUCCAAGCUGCUACCUCUUUCUCCUUCCCCUUGUACAGGCCAGGCUGCCAGCGUCUUCCUGAACAUGAAGGGGGACUUCAUGAAACCCGUCAUCAGCAUUGUGGACGAGCUGCUGGAAGCCGGGGUCAACGUGACCGUGUAUAAUGGACAGCUUGACCUCAUCGUGGACACCAUGGGUCAGGAGGCCUGGGUGCGAAAACUGAAGUGGGCAGAACUGCCCAAAUUCAGUCAGCUGAAGUGGAAGCCCCUGCACAGUGACCCUGAGACUUCAGAAACGUCUGCCUUUGUCAAGUCCCACAAGAACCUGGCUUUCUACUGGAUUCUCAGAGCUGGACACAUGCUGAUUAAGUGUCAUUUUGGCAUACCCCACCGUGCCUGUGCCUCCUGGGGGCCAAGCUUGGCAGGAGAGUCAGCAGGAGUGUGAGAAUCGUGGAGCCGCAGAAUUUCAGAACUUGGAGUCAUCUACUCUACCGCCAUCCUUGUGAAGGACAAACUGAGGCCUCUGCCCCUCCCCCUCUUGAUGGUUCCUUCCGACCAAGGGGACAUGGCUCUGCAGAUGAUGAGGCUGGUGACUCAGCAAGAAUAGGAUGGCCUGGGCUGGAGGUGAGCUGCUUGGCCUUGGGGCACGGAAGCCGAAGCAAGCGCCCUGAAGGUGUAGGAACCACUCUUCUCCCUUUGAAUCUGACUCGGGGGGAGAACCUCACUUGGGCUGUGAUUGUGAAGGGUCCCAUCAGCUUCGACAGAGAACAAAAUCAUUGCCUCUGUGACAACUUGGAAAUCAUUUCUGCUUCUGAAAACUAAGUUUUAAAAAACUGGAUUGGGGGCUUCCCUGGUGGCGCAGUGGCUGAGAGUCCGCCUGCCGAUGCAGGGGACACGGGUUCAUGCCCCGGUCCGGGAAGAUCCCACAUGCCGCGGAGCGGCUGGGCCCGUGAGCCAUGGCCGCUGAGCCUGCGCGUCCGGAGCCUGUGCUCCGCAACGGGAGAGGCCACAACAGUGAGAGGCCCGCAUACCGCAAAUAAAUAAAUUAAUUAAUUAAUUAAAAUUAAAAACUGGAUUUGUUUUCAUCAAAAUAAAGGGUUGAAGUAGAUUAACAUUUUCUUAUUACAAAAGCAAAUUAUGCGAUUUAUAGAAAAAUCAGGAAAUACAGGCAAACAAAGAACAAAAUGAACACUCACGCUCCCUUCCCACGGAUAAGCACUGUUACCACUUAAGUGUUUAUUCUUGCACAUCUUUUUUUGCUAUGUAUACAUAUAUAUUUUACACAAAAACGCAAUCAUUGCUAUGUUAUUUCAUAGUCUGCUUUGUUCACACAUCAGUAUGAUGUCUGCUGAGCAUUCCAUUUUAUGGAUGUACCAUAAUUUACCUACCAAAUGCCCAGUGUUGCCCAUGAGCAGUGUCUAGUUUGUCGCUUUUAUAAACGGUGCUCUGGUGGUUUAUCCUGUUAGUUACAUUUUUACACACAUCCUUAUCAUUUUCUUAGAAUAAUUUCCUGAAAGCAUACUUGUUCAGUUAAAAAAUUGUAACAUUUCUUUAAAAUUAAAAUGAUGAGUUUGGGACUUUAGAGUUUUAAUUCAUGGCUCAAGAUCUGCAAAGGGACCUGAUAGCUUCUAUGGUAGCCCUGAAAGAAUACCACUUCCUGUAGUUGUGGGGCUGAGAUUUUGAAAACCAAACCCAAAGUCUCGUCCUGCAGUAUGUGAGGAAAGAGUUACUAACAGGUUACGCCUACGUGACGAGCCCCUUCUGACCUGAGACUAAAACAGGCUUCCUUGGGUGGUGCUCCACGCUUUCCCCACAAUUCGGUUUGCUGUUGGGAAGAGAGGGCUCCUGUACUCCUGUGUGGAUGGGGAAGAAUGCAGAGACUUGUGCUGGGCCCCUCUGGACUCCACCAAUGCGUAUCGUUCUGCUGCUUCUGCCGGGUAUCAUUUGCUGGAAAAAAAUUGAACUGUGAGUAUAAC
Molecule: RNA transcript, 3014 nt
Organism: Orcinus orca (killer whale)
Lineage: Eukaryota; Metazoa; Chordata; Mammalia; Artiodactyla; Delphinidae
Gene: SCPEP1
Gene name: serine carboxypeptidase 1
Exons: 14
Source: RefSeq, a predicted model, not a curated record